Molecule: long non-coding RNA, 1195 nt
Filed under: Cottoperca gobio
Lineage: Eukaryota; Metazoa; Chordata; Actinopteri; Perciformes; Bovichtidae
Description: lncRNA (ENSCGOG00000004505.1)
Source: RNAcentral
ACGAUUGAGGAACAACACGUUUGCAGCCAGACAGAGUUCCUGUUCUCUCUUCAGCUGAAGACUGUGGUCACUCAGUCCAUUCAGUCUGUGUGAUGAGGAAUAUGAACAUCUGUAGCUGCAUGUUUGCUUUACUGCUGGGCUGUAAUGCCACUGCAGCAAUAAUCCAUAAAAUUGUGGAUGAAAAGACAUCACCCUCUCUGCGCUGUGCUCACUCUGUGGAGGGUAAAGUGACGUGGAGCAGAGAGCGUAAUGGAAACAAACAUGACAUAUUUACAAUUGAUGGUGAAAAGGAAAUAAGACACGAUGACCCGGGCAGACGAUACAGUUCAUUGGCAGAUAAGUCACUGUACAUUCACAGUGUUACCUUCUCCGACUCUGGAAGAUACUUGUGUAAUAGUGAAGCAGCUAUGGAGCUGACGGUGAUCCCAUCAGGAACAAUCAGACUUGAUGCUACUGAGGGGACCAGCGUCACUCUGAAAUGCCCUCAUGAUGGAGGAACAAAGGUUUCAAAAUGGAGAAGAGACUCUGAUGAAAUACAUAAACAAAAAGGGUUUUAUGUUUCACCUCUUGACUAUGCAUUGACUAUAACUGACGUGGAGCUUAGUAACUCGGGAGUUUACUACUGUGAUGGAAAACCAGCUGUUUUUCUGAAUGUGACCAAAGGAAAGAAGGCACCGCACACAACAACAUCGACAGCAACCGCACUUCCUCCAGCAGCAACACCUGUAUCCUUAACAUCACCUCUAACUAAUAUAGCUACGACUUCAACACAGAAAGAAAGUCAUAGCAAGAAACAUGGAACUAAAAGCAAGAAGAAAGGUAAGAAGGUGGCACCACCACCACCACCACCACAAACAACAACAACACCAACAACAACACCAACAACAACACCAACAGCAACAACGGUGGUAAACACAGUGGCUUCUGAAGAACAACAACAAACUCUUGGUUUGAUGUUUGGAAUAGUUGUCUCCUUCCUCCUCCUCCUCGUCAUCAUCAUCAUCAUCAUCGUCUACUUUAAAGGACGAGGAAGUGAUGAAACAUAUGCUGUCUACGCUGAGAUACAGGAUGGAUUCAUGCUUCAGGCUACAAAUGGUGAGAAAUAAGAAGUGAAAAACAAUGUGCUUUUUCUAUUAUGAUCGAGACCGAUGUAAUAUUUUGUUAUUCACUGUUAUUUAUGGUUGCAUUCAUGUGC